Molecule: ribosomal RNA, 465 nt
Filed under: uncultured bacterium
Lineage: Bacteria
Description: partial 16S ribosomal RNA
Rfam family: Bacterial small subunit ribosomal RNA
Source: RNAcentral
GACGAACGCUGGCGGCGUGCUUAACACAUGCAAGUCGAACGGAAAGGCCCUGCUUGCCGGGUACUCGAGUGGCGAACGGGUGAGUAACACGUGGGUGAUCUGCCCUGCACUUCGGGAUAAGCCUGGGAAACUGGGUCUAAUACCGGAUAGGAGCCAUUUUUAGUGUGAUGAUUGGAAAGUUUUUUCGGUGUAGGAUGAGCUCGCGGCCUAUCAGCUUGUUGGUGGGGUAAUGGCCUACCAAGGCGGCGACGGGUAGCCGGCCUGAGAGGGUGGACGGCCACAUUGGGACUGAGAUACGGCCCAGACUCCUACGGGAGGCAGCGGUGGGGAAUAUUGCACAAUGGGCGCAAGCCUGAUGCAGCGACGCCGCGUGGGGGAUGACGGCCUUCGGGUUGUAAACUCCUUUCGCUAGGGACGAAGCUUUUUGUGACGGUACCUAGAUAAGAAGCACCGGCUAACUACGUG